This 490-nucleotide ribosomal RNA is filed under the name uncultured bacterium. RNAcentral describes it as "partial 16S ribosomal RNA". It matches the Rfam family "Bacterial small subunit ribosomal RNA", at positions 30 to 507 of the family's 1533-position model. The record is from RNAcentral.
AUUGAACGCUGGCGGCAGGCCUAACACAUGCAAGUCGAACGGUAACAGGAAGAAGCUUGCUUCUUUGCUGACGAGUGGCGGACGGGUGAGUAAUGUCUGGGAAACUGCCUGAUGGAGGGGGAUAACUACUGGAAACGGUAGUUAAUACCGCAUAACGUCGCAAGCCCAAAGAGGGGGACCUUCGGGCCUCUUGCCAUCGGAUGUGCCCAGAUGGGAUUAGCUAGUAGGUGGGGUAACGGCUCACCUAGGCGACGAUCCCUAGCUGGUCUGAGAGGAUGACCAGCCACACUGGAACUGAGACACGGUCCAGACUCCUACGGGAGGCAGCAGUGGGGAAUAUUGCGCAAUGGGCGAAAGCCUGAUGCAGCCAUGCCGCGUGUAUGAAGAAGGCCUUCGGGUUGUAAAGUACUUUCAGCGGGGAGGAAGGAAGUAAAGUUAAUACCUUUGCUCAUUGACGUUACCCGCAGAAGAAGCACCGGCUAACUACGUG